RNAcentral lists this ribosomal RNA (441 nucleotides) under uncultured bacterium. Its description in RNAcentral is "partial 16S ribosomal RNA". It matches the Rfam family "Bacterial small subunit ribosomal RNA", at positions 338 to 795 of the family's 1533-position model. The record is from RNAcentral.
CCUACGGGUGGCUGCAGUGGGGGAUAUUGCACAAUGGGGGAAACCCUGAUGCAGCGACGCCGCGUGGGUGAAGAAGUAUCUCGGUAUGUUAAGCCUCAUCAGCAGGGGAGAAAGAAGACGGUACCUGACUAAGAAGCCCCGGCUAACGACGUGCCAGAAGCCGCGGUAAUACGUAGGGGGCGAGCGUUAUCCGGAUGCACUGGGUGUAAUGGGGGCUUAGACGGGUGUGCAAGGCCGGAGUGAAAGCCUGGGGCCCAACCCCGGGACUGCGGUUGGAACUGGGAGGCUAGAGUGCGGGAGGGGCAGGCGGAAUGCGUGGUGUAGCGGUGAAAUGCGUAGAUAUCAGGAAGAACACCGACUGCGAAGGCAGCCUGCUGGACCGCGACUGACGUUGAGGCUCGAAAGCGUGGGGAGCGAACAGGAUUAGAUACCCUAGUAGUC